Helianthus annuus (common sunflower) is the source of this 630-nucleotide long non-coding RNA. RefSeq lists it as uncharacterized. The transcript has 2 exons. The record is from RefSeq and is a predicted model, not a curated record. NCBI's taxonomy places the organism in Eukaryota, Viridiplantae, Streptophyta, Magnoliopsida, Asterales, Asteraceae.
CUUACUUAAUACACACACUAUUAUCCUCGAAACAAUUACUUAUUCUCACGCCAGAGGGUGGUUACAAGGAGAACUCCCCUGUUCUCCUCCUUACGGUGUGUUGAUUGUUUGCAGGAUCAUCAUCGCUGUUUAGACGAGAACGAAGGAAGAUUAACCUUGUUUAGACGAGACACAAACCACAAGCUACUCACCAGAUUAGUUUGGUGUUUCUUCAGGGGGUUCGUCCGACUGUAGUUUGGGAGUUUGCUUGAGCGCAAGCAAUCUUCAAGUGUGGUGAUAUUUGAUAUAUUACAAAUUAAUAUAUAUUUUAUAAACGGUGAUCCCAAGCUCAGAUGUAGAAAAGAGUAGAAGUCAAGUGUAGAAGAACAUACAAACCGGCAUGAGGAGAUACAAUCCAUGUUGAUGACAUUACAAAGUUUAGUUAAUCACCACCAUACCUACUAAGACACACCAAUAUGGCCUUGUAUGUCAGAGGCGGAGAUUCUAAUAUGAGGUUGACCACCGGUCCACCUCCUUUUAGCAAGUGAAAAUGGUCAUAUUAGUGGACAUACGGUCCGUAUGUCGAGCAAUGAGGAAAUUGAUGUGUCUGAUAGCCAUGUUUUUCUAAUAUAAAAAGACCCAUGUUUAGUA